Homo sapiens (human) is the source of this 391-nucleotide long non-coding RNA. The record is from Ensembl. Lineage: Eukaryota; Metazoa; Chordata; Mammalia; Primates; Hominidae.
CCUUCCUUCCCUAUGGAAGCUGCGGAGGAAGCACCUCCUCACUGUGGGCACGCUGGAACCCCAGGGAGAGGCUGCCUGGUCACACCAGAGUGAAGUAACUGACCAAACUCAGCAGGGAAGGGCAACAGGAAGCCCAGAACCAACCUGUGCCUGCCAUUCCCGACUCCCCGCGGCCCUCACACAGCUUCUCCGCCUCUGAGCCCUUGAGGGUCCUCUUGAGCUUCAGGACCACAGAGUUGCUGAGCCUACACUUCUACUGUCUCCAGCUUUUGGAAUCUAGCCAAAGUGGCUGUCUAUUCUCCCAGGGCCCUGGUCCCUCCUGCCCGCUUGUAUUAAGCAACCAACUGUCGAACAUUUUAAUUUGGUGAAUAAAAAUCUCUUGACCCUGGAA